CCCGGACCCAGAAGAUCUAGGAGCCACGGGGCCGCAAGCCCGAAACACCAAGGAGGCGGGGGCCCCGCGAGUCCGGCUCCGCCGCCCGCCGGCUGGCGCGUCCUCCGUCCGCUUGCUCGCCGGAGACAUGGAAUCCUGAAGGAGGGCCGAGCUCUUCAAAAGACCACACACCUGCUGUUAAGAAAGUCCCCCUUCUGCCGCCUGGCAAGAGAAAUCUGUGUUCAGUUCACUCGCGGUGUGGACUUCAGUUGGCAAGCCCAGGCCCUGUUGGCCCUACAAGAGGCGGCAGAAGCGUUUCUAGUUCAUUUCUUCGAGGAUGCCUAUCUGCUCUCCUUACACGCCGGCCGCAUCACACUCUUCUCGAAGGAUGUGCAGCUGGCCCGGAGGAUCCGAGGCAUUCAGGAAGGGCUGGGC
RNAcentral lists this long non-coding RNA (414 nucleotides) under Bos taurus (domestic cattle). RNAcentral describes it as "long non-coding RNA NONBTAT012813". Lineage: Eukaryota; Metazoa; Chordata; Mammalia; Artiodactyla; Bovidae. The record is from RNAcentral.